RNAcentral lists this transfer RNA (75 nucleotides) under Alphaproteobacteria bacterium ADurb.Bin438. RNAcentral describes it as "tRNA-Thr". It matches the Rfam family "tRNA". Rfam says of the family: Transfer RNA (tRNA) molecules are approximately 80 nucleotides in length. Their secondary structure includes four short double-helical elements and three loops (D, anti-codon, and T loops). Lineage: Bacteria; Pseudomonadati; Pseudomonadota; Alphaproteobacteria. The record is from RNAcentral.
GCCGUUGUAGCUUAGGGGUAGAGCACUCCCUUGGUAAGGGAGAGGUCGCAAGUUCGAUUCUCGUCAACGGCACCA